Molecule: long non-coding RNA, 1191 nt
Filed under: Linum usitatissimum (flax)
Lineage: Eukaryota; Viridiplantae; Streptophyta; Magnoliopsida; Malpighiales; Linaceae
Description: long non-coding RNA (LUSI_LNC002354)
Source: RNAcentral
CCCCCUCCUCUUUUUCUCCUUUACCGCCGCCGCAUCUCCGGCGUCUCCGCCGCUGCCGCUGCUAUUUUUUUACUUUUUUUUUCUCCUCCGCCUCUCCCCAUCUUCCUUUUCUGGUCACGCCGAAGGCGACGGGCGUCGCUGCCUCCGCCUCCUCUCUUCUCCCACAACGAACAAAGAAAGGAAAACAGAAGGAAGAAAACGUAAAAACAUGGAAACCCCUCUUUCUACUUUAGUUUUUUUUGUUUCGACUUCGAUUCGGGCUUGCAUGUUGUCUGCAAAUCCCGAUCUGUGGAUUUACGAUCUGAGUUUUUUGAUUUUUAUAUUGUUUCCCUGAUUUGUGUUGUCUUUAUGUUGGUUUCUGUUUUCAAUAAAGAUGGGGAUCGGUGGAGCCGGAAAGGCAGAAAAAGUUUCCAUCGACGAUGGACUCGUCGGAGCAAAGGACGAGAAAGGUAAAAGGUUGAACCCUUUAUUUAUUCUGAUUUUACUUGGUUGAUGAUAGUAGUUUUGUUUGAUUAGGUCACUUGAAAUAAAAUCUGGACUAUUUUGUUGUUACGAUGAGUUUAGAAAUCUGAACUUUCUAAAAAUUACCCAUUUGUUUGAAAUGUUAUUAUUUAGUGUCAUCCUUGAUAAAAUUUCAGCAACUUGUUAAGUUUUGAAUCUUAUUUUAGGGUUUGCUAGCACGUUUACUAACAUGAAACGAUCCCUUGAUUAGUCAUAAUGAAUAUUCGAGGAUGAUUUUUAAGAGAGUAUAAGUGCCACAAAAUGUAUGUAUGAAUAUUGCAUGAAUGCUUUUGAAUAGGAAUGUUUGGAUGAUUACCUUUGAAUCGAAUCUUCUUUUUUUUUGUCGUGUUUCAGGUAGUAGCUCCUUGCGAAUGACGACAAAGUGAAUGACGGUAGAAACGGUUGUACUUAGGUUUAGCUCGUGUUUGUAACUUGCUGUAAUAAUUUUCUUUUCUUCUUUAUUUUGGACUGGGACCUCGAGUGCAGGGAUUUUUUUCGUCCAAAACCAUUCCUCUCCCCCAUUUCUCCUCUUGUUUGUCCAUUUAAAUCAAGAAAAGGGGCUGCCACCUCCCCUCUCCCCCAAUGGAACUUGGCUACGUUUCUUGAAACAAAACAAGAGGUGGCAGCCUCUUAAUUAAUAACAGUAGCGGGCCCGAAAUUGGACGCAAAAUACCGGGCCCGAAAUCGGAC